Molecule: transfer RNA, 72 nt
Filed under: Adineta vaga
Lineage: Eukaryota; Metazoa; Rotifera; Eurotatoria; Adinetida; Adinetidae
Also listed under: 5 other names
Description: tRNA-Gly for anticodon UCC
Rfam family: tRNA
About the family: Transfer RNA (tRNA) molecules are approximately 80 nucleotides in length. Their secondary structure includes four short double-helical elements and three loops (D, anti-codon, and T loops).
Source: RNAcentral
GCGUUGGUGGUGUAACGGUUAGCAUGGUUGCCUUCCAAGCAGCCGACCCGGGUUCGACUCCCGGCCAACGCA